GCCGGUGUGUUGGAAUUGGCAGACGAGGAGGACUCAAAAUCCUUUGCCAGCGAUGGCGUGUGGGUUCAAAUCCCACCACCGGCACCA
RNAcentral lists this transfer RNA (87 nucleotides) under Candidatus Scatosoma pullicola. RNAcentral's name for it is "tRNA-Leu". It matches the Rfam family "tRNA". From Rfam's summary of the family: Transfer RNA (tRNA) molecules are approximately 80 nucleotides in length. Their secondary structure includes four short double-helical elements and three loops (D, anti-codon, and T loops). The record is from RNAcentral. Lineage: Bacteria; Bacillati; Bacillota; Clostridia.